UACGUAGGGGGCAAGCGCUGUCCGGAUUCACUGGGCGUAAAGGGUGUGCAGGCGGUCUGGCGUGUCGAUGGUGAAAGCCCUCGGCUUAACCGAGGAAGUGCUGUCGAAACUACCAGACUUGAGGACGGAAGAGGAAACUGGAACUUCUGGUGUAGCGGUAAAAUGCGUAGAUAUCAGAAGGAACGCCGAUAGCGAAGGCAGGUUUCUGGGACGUUCCUGACGCUGAAACACGAAAGCUAGGGGAG
RNAcentral lists this ribosomal RNA (245 nucleotides) under uncultured bacterium. RNAcentral describes it as "partial 16S ribosomal RNA". It matches the Rfam family "Bacterial small subunit ribosomal RNA", at positions 524 to 768 of the family's 1533-position model. The record is from RNAcentral.